This 147-nucleotide unclassified non-coding RNA is filed under the name soil metagenome. Its description in RNAcentral is "partial internal transcribed spacer 1". The record is from RNAcentral.
UUGAAAACAAGGGUGUCCAAUUUAACUUGUAACCCGACCUUCUCAAUUCUAACUUUGUGCAUCUGUAUUAUGGCGAGCAGUUUUCGGACUGUGAGCCUUCAUUUACAAAACAUCAGUCUAUGAAUGUAAAAUUUUUAUAACAAAUAA